RNAcentral lists this small nucleolar RNA (137 nucleotides) under Chlamydotis macqueenii (Macqueen's bustard). Lineage: Eukaryota; Metazoa; Chordata; Aves; Otidiformes; Otididae. The record is from RNAcentral.
CUUCAGUGAAGAUGAGAUGACGAGUCUGAAAGGGAAUGUCCUUGUCCAAGGGCUCAGUUCCCUCUUGUGUUCUACAGCAUGGAUCUGGGGACCUUGGGUCACAAGUUGAGUGACUUAGAGGCAUUUAUCUGAGAAGG